Nilaparvata lugens (brown planthopper) is the source of this 1450-nucleotide long non-coding RNA. RefSeq lists it as uncharacterized. The record is from RefSeq and is a predicted model, not a curated record. The transcript has 2 exons. Lineage: Eukaryota; Metazoa; Arthropoda; Insecta; Hemiptera; Delphacidae.
ACCGUCUUCCUUCAGUACACACUUUUGGAGUCAAAAUAUUGACAGGAAAUUGAUCCGAAAAUGAGGUUUGCUCCAAAACUAUGAAUCAAAUAGUAGACAGAAAUGUCCAAUGUGCUUCACAAUUUCGAGGUAGUGUUCUUCUUUAAAGGGUGUCUUUUGCUUUCAGUUAUUAAAACUUUUGAGUUCAAUAUUGAAAGAAAAUUGAUCCGAAAAUGAGGUUUGCUCCAAAACUACAAAGAAAAGAGUACUUCAAACUAGAAAUUUUCAACUAUAUUUUGCUAUGUGCUUCACAAUUUCGAGGUAAUGUUCUUCUCCAAUAGGAGCCUUCUGCUUUCAGUUGUUAGUUACACUUUUGGAGUCAAAUAUUGACAGAAAUUUAAUGCAAACUGGAAGGUUUGUUGAGCUCCAAAACUUCAACAAAAACGGCACUUCAGACUAGAAUUUUUUAGAUGUUGCUAUGUGCUCAGCAAUUUCGAGAUAGUGUUCUCUUAAUGGUGUUGUUCUUCCUUCAGUUGUUGUUAUCACUUUUGGACUUCAAUCUUGACCGAUAUUUGAUCAGAAACUAGGUUUUGCAACGUAAAUUUGCGUCAAACCUUGAACUUUUCUAUAAACUAUGUGCUCCGCAAUUUUGAGAUAGUGUUCUUCUUCAAACAGAUCCUUCUUCCUUCAGUUGUUGUCAACACUUUGGACUCCAAUAUGGACAGUAAAUAUUGGAAACUAGGGCUUGAUAGGAAAAUUUGGUCUAAAAUUACAAUAUGCUUCAAAACUUGAAUUUUUUUAUAGACCAUGUGCUCCGCAAUUUUGAGAUAGUGUUCUUCUUCAAAUGGAUCCUUUUUCCUUUAGUUGGUGUUCUUCUUCCUUCAGUUGUUGUUAACACUUUUGAGCUCCAAUUUGUACAGAAAUUACUUUUCCAUUAACAUCUUCACUGUAUCAAAACCCAAUGAUAUUACGUAACAACACAAUCAUUUUGUAAUACUACGGUAAUUUAUAUGUGGGUUGACAAUAUAAUCAUUGAAUCUAAAUACCUUAGCUUCUCUAAAUUUCAGUUAUUUAUGAUUUUACCAUUGGACAAGAGGAAGUGCUUUUUAUUACUCUAACAGAAUAAGGAUAAAAAUCAAAAAGCACUAAAUAUUACAAUAGCAUACUAGGUUCGAUAUAAAAUAUAAUUCCUAUUCAUUACUCGGUCCACAAUACCUCAGAGAAAAAUAUACGGUAGUUACAUUUACUGGCAACAAAUUUCUCACCCAACUAUUAGCACAUGAAUUUGCUCUCAAUAGCAGUACCACAGAUUUCAAAUUUGGUUGCAGAUUUGAACUUUGCAGAGAAAAAUAGGUAUAUUCAUUUAAUAACAAACGAUUUAUUUUCUUGAAAUAUCAGUGACUCCCACGAUCUUCUCCUUAUGAAACUCGCCGGUGAAUCAACUGCUAUUCUAAACUAGUAUCACUUGGAU